ACGUGGACAAUCUACCCUGUGGAGGGGGAUAACCCCGGGAAACUGGGGAUAAUACCCCAUAGACUAUGGAAGCUGGAAUGCUCUGUAGCCGAAAGGUCCGCCGCCGCAGGAUGAGUCUGCGGCCGAUUAGGUUGUUGUUGGGGUAACGGCCCAACAAGCCUGUAAUCGGUACGGGUUGUGGGAGCAAGAGCCCGGAGAUGGAUUCUGAGACACGAAUCCAGGCCCUACGGGGCGCAGCAGGCGCGAAAACUUUGCAAUGCGGGAAACCGUGACAAGGGAACUCCGAGUGCCCGUAAAUUCGGGCUGUCCGCCAGUCCAAAAAACUGGUGAAGAAAGGGCCGGGCAAGACCGGUGCCAGCCGCCGCGGUAACACCGGCGGCUCGAGUGGUAACCGUUAUUAUUGGGUCUAAAGGGUCUGUAGCCGGCCGGAUAAGUCUCUUGGGAAAUCCGGCAGCUUAACUGUCGGGCUUUCAGGAGAUACUGUUCGGCUCGAGGCCGGGAGAGGUGAGAGGUACUUCAGGGGUAGGGGUGAAAUCUUGUAAUCCUUGAAGGACCACCAGUGGCGAAGGCGUCUCACCAGAACGGACCUGACGGCAAGGGACGAAAGCUAGGGGCACGAACCGGAUUAGAUACCCGGGUAGUCCUAGCCGUAAACGAUACUCGCUAGGUGUCGGCCACGGUGCGACCGUGGUCGGUGCCGUAGGGAAGCCGUGAAGCGAGCCACCUGGGAAGUACGGCCGCAAGGCUGAAACUUAA
Molecule: ribosomal RNA, 756 nt
Filed under: uncultured archaeon
Lineage: Archaea
Description: bacterial SSU rRNA
Rfam family: Archaeal small subunit ribosomal RNA
Source: RNAcentral